Podarcis lilfordi (Lilford's wall lizard) is the source of this 80-nucleotide non-coding RNA. The record is from the annotation of a GenBank genome assembly. Lineage: Eukaryota; Metazoa; Chordata; Lepidosauria; Squamata; Lacertidae.
GGUGCAGUGAUCUCAGUUGGUAGAGCAUGAGACUUUUAAUCUCAGAAUCGUGGGUUUGAGCCCCACAUUGGGUUGUACUA